UACGUAGGGUGCAAGCGUUAAUCGGAAUUACUGGGCGUAAAGCGUGCGCAGGCGGUUAUGUAAGACAGGGGUGAAAUCCCCGGGCUUAACCUGGGAACUGCAUUUGUGACUGCAUAGCUAGAGUACGGCAGAGGGGGACGGAAUUCCGCGUGUAGCAGUGAAAUGCGUAGAUAUGCGGAGGAACACCGAUGGCGAAGGCAAUCCCCUGGGCCUGUACUGACGCUCAUGCACGAAAGCGUGGGGAGCAAACAGG
RNAcentral lists this ribosomal RNA (253 nucleotides) under uncultured bacterium. Its description in RNAcentral is "partial 16S ribosomal RNA". It matches the Rfam family "Bacterial small subunit ribosomal RNA", at positions 524 to 776 of the family's 1533-position model. The record is from RNAcentral.